UCCGAUCCCCCGGUGGGCCCUACAUGCCCCAGUCCAACACUGGUUAACAGGAUACUGAAAUGGUUACUGCAGGCAGGCUUGACAAGGACUUGCAUCUGACAAAGACUCAAUCUUGGAUUCACAAAAACCCACGUGUGGCAAAAUGGAUCAAACACAAUGAUCCCUGACGAAGCCCUAGAUGGGAGAAACGCGUUGGAUCGCUGCAUGUCAAUCUCAGGAGCCGGAGCUCAACCCUAAUUUCCACUGAUUUGCUGACGACACGUGAAUCCCGGAAGCCGCGAAACCGGAAGCGACUGGCCUGCUUUCCACGCUUGCGGGCCAGACGAUACGAGCGGUAUCGGAGCUCUGGGAAUCGGCUGCCCGGCCCCACCGGAGGUCCUGCAGAUACGGACCCGGGAGAGGAGGGAACGGAGGACUCUGGACACUCUCGGUUCACAGGUACUGUUACCCGAUAAGCACUAGUUCACAUAUGUGUGGCGUGCAAAAAAAGUAGAGUGCUGGAAGUUACCCAUAUAACAUAAACAGUCACAGUGGACAAGGGCAGAUUAAACCGUGAUCCUCCCAAGAAACCUAUCAGCCAUUAAACUUAAGCUGCUGGGACGAGGUGAUACACGGUGGCACAUUCGUAUAGGAAGACCCUUACAAAUUUAAAAAACUGCUUUUCUAAAGGACAUUUUCAUCCACGUGGGAUAAGCAGGUCUCGGGACUCUUUUCCUAUGCCCUUUGGGGCGAGCAUUGAAUUACAAUUAUGAGCAUCGGCACACUGAUAUGACCAUUUGUGAAAGACAAUAGAUUGUCAUUAUCAUCACAUUGUUGUGUUCAUCAGUUUUUUAUAAGAGAAAGCGUGCUAUUUUCUUUGGAUGAAAUUUUAUUAUUUUAUGAAUAUGUUUUAUAUGUACAAAUAAAUCUAGAAUCAGUCUGAC
Molecule: long non-coding RNA, 923 nt
Organism: Pseudophryne corroboree (corroboree frog)
Lineage: Eukaryota; Metazoa; Chordata; Amphibia; Anura; Myobatrachidae
Exons: 3
Source: RefSeq, a predicted model, not a curated record